This 84-nucleotide transfer RNA is filed under the name candidate division MSBL1 archaeon SCGC-AAA259E17. RNAcentral describes it as "tRNA-Leu". It matches the Rfam family "tRNA". From Rfam's summary of the family: Transfer RNA (tRNA) molecules are approximately 80 nucleotides in length. Their secondary structure includes four short double-helical elements and three loops (D, anti-codon, and T loops). The record is from RNAcentral. Lineage: Archaea; Methanobacteriati; Methanobacteriota.
GCGAGAGUCGCCAAGUCAGGUCAAAGGCGCAGCGUUCAGGGCGCUGUCCCGUAGGGGUUCGAGGGUUCAAAUCCUUCUCCCGCA